RNAcentral lists this non-coding RNA (50 nucleotides) under unclassified sequences. The record is from RNAcentral.
AUGUAAAAGGGGCAAGCAUUGCCCCUUUUACAUCGCAUAUCGCAAUCGCA